Molecule: long non-coding RNA, 1121 nt
Organism: Perognathus longimembris pacificus (Pacific pocket mouse)
Lineage: Eukaryota; Metazoa; Chordata; Mammalia; Rodentia; Heteromyidae
Exons: 2
Source: RefSeq, a predicted model, not a curated record
ACACACACAUCACCCCAGCAACAGUAAGAACAACAAUAAUAAAAACUCACUAACAAAAUAUCUAUAUUUAACUAUUUAUAAGAGAGCUCAUUUCACAGAGUAGGUACAUAACUAUGACAGACUUUUCUGAAUGGUAUUAAUAAGAGAAGAAGAACACUGAGAUUCUUAGAAGGCUGAAUUACCAUAGCAGUUCUGGUUUAAUACAACUUUCUGGGGCUUAGAAACAUGCCAACUUUUGUUAAUGGGUAAGGAACAAACAAGAGAAGGCAACAGACCUCAGGAGCAUAAUAGUUUAUGUCUUCUACAAAUUCUAAACAAAUCAUAUUCAAAAGAAUUCUGUGAAGGAGAAAGUAGAAAAGGCAAGUUCACUUGACAUUAACAAGUGACUAGAAAAAGACAAACAAGCCACUGCACAUAUUAUAUCCUGACAUCACACAAAGCACAGAAUAAUUUUCCUUUCAUUUAUGGUGGGCAAAUUGGCUCUACAACCACCAUAAAUUAUGGGUGACUUUAAGAUCAUACCACAGGAGGUGUGGUUCUCUUGGAACAGAUUACCUAACAUUUAUAAAGUGUUGUAAUUAAUGAUGAUGAGUGAAUAGCUCUCUAUUAGGACACAGUAAGGGAAGGUUACAUGUAGUAAAAUAAACCUGUUUGGUGAUGGUUAUAAACUGGUGAUGAUUUGUGCCAUAGUCUGGAAAGCACCAUAGAGACUCAGACAUAAAUUGUUCCAAGAAAUCCAGCCAGUCUGAGAUUCUGGUGGGGUGGCUAAAUGCCAGAAGAAAUUGUCAUCACAAAGUCGAAGGAUGAGCUUGAAAAGAAGCCCACAACUCUCAUAGCUGGCAAUGUUUACAGAUCCAGGAAAAUGAUUGUGGUUUCAGGAGUCUGUUGGCAGGCCAAAGGGCUCAGGAAGCACACAGAUUUCAGAAGCAAGAGGCCCUGUCUUAAAGGCCUUAUUCCAAUGCAAGGAGAGAUGGGCAGAUUGGUUGAUUUGAAAAGACACUGGGUAAAGUAUUAUUUAAGAAAUGCCUUCUAAUUAUAAGAAAGAAUGUGAAUAUUUUUUAGGAGACAUGCACUUGGAAAUCAAGGAAAGUACUGUACUUAUACGGAAGUCAUCACUGAGC